RNAcentral lists this ribosomal RNA (422 nucleotides) under uncultured bacterium. RNAcentral describes it as "bacterial SSU rRNA". It matches the Rfam family "Bacterial small subunit ribosomal RNA", at positions 355 to 774 of the family's 1533-position model. The record is from RNAcentral.
UAAGGAAUAUUGGUCAAUGGACGCAAGUCUGAACCAGCCAUGCCGCGUGAAGGAUUAAGGCCCUCUGGGUUGUAAACUUCUUUUAUAGGGGAAGAAAUGUGACGGUUCUCCGUCACUUGACGGUACCCUGGGAAUAAGCACCGGCUAACUCCGUGCCAGCAGCCGCGGUAAUACGGAGGGUGCAAGCGUUAUCCGGAUUCACUGGGUUUAAAGGGUGCGUAGGUGGGCAGAUAAGUCAGUGGUGAAAUCUUCCGGCUUAGCCGGGAAACUGCCGUUGAUACUAUUUGUCUUGAAUAUUGCGGAGGUAAGCGGAAUAUGUCAUGUAGCGGUGAAAUGCUUAGAUAUGACAUAGAACACCAAUUGCGAAGGCAGCUUACUACACAAUCAUUGACACUGAGGCACGAAAGCGUGGGUAGCGAACA